Small nucleolar RNA from Anguilla rostrata (American eel), 130 nucleotides. RefSeq annotates it as small nucleolar RNA SNORA31. Lineage: Eukaryota; Metazoa; Chordata; Actinopteri; Anguilliformes; Anguillidae. The record is from RefSeq and is a predicted model, not a curated record. The transcript has a single exon.
CCGCAUCCCCUGAUAGACCUGAAGCAGGACCACUUUGGCUUCUGGGUUUGCAUCCGGAUGCAAGAUCCAACUCCCUCUUGCACUCCUGUCUGCCGGAGUGGCAGGGUGGGUUUCAUCAAGGGAAACACUC